GGCGAACGGGUGCGUAACACGUAAACAACCUGCCUUAAAGACUGGGAUAACUCCGGGAAACCGGAGCUAAUACCAGAUGUCCUUAUCAUUCGCAUGUUUGAUAAAAAAAAUUCCGCAAGGAGCUUUAAGAGGGGUUUGCGUCCGAUUAGCUUGUUGGUAGGGUAACGGCCUACCAAGGCGACGAUCGGUAGCUGGUCUGAGAGGACGAUCAGCCACACUGGGACUGAGACACGGCCCAG
Molecule: ribosomal RNA, 239 nt
Filed under: uncultured bacterium
Lineage: Bacteria
Description: partial 16S ribosomal RNA
Rfam family: Bacterial small subunit ribosomal RNA
Source: RNAcentral